CACCAGGCAAACUGUUUGAUCAGUAGGAUUGGGCAUCAAGAACCGGUUCCAACUCGGAAUCACUGCAAAAAUUACGAUUCCAAUGGAAUCCAUUCUUUAUUGGAAUCGUUAGAAAAAUUUGUUUUUUUUAUAUUGGCGA
Molecule: long non-coding RNA, 139 nt
Organism: Etheostoma spectabile (orangethroat darter)
Lineage: Eukaryota; Metazoa; Chordata; Actinopteri; Perciformes; Percidae
Exons: 3
Source: RefSeq, a predicted model, not a curated record